UCGGACAGCUUCCCAGUACUGAUGCAAGAUUUUAUUGGAACCCAUAAUAGAGGAAUGUUAGCCUUUAAAUGUGCAGUAAGUUUAAUAUGCAUUAUGAAUAGCACUUAAAUUAAUGAAUUGCAUUGGGGUGUAUUGUCAUACAAAUUAUAAACAUUACUGAUUAAAAAUCGUGACGUGUGCUCUCAGCUUUUGAUGACAUUUACAACUUUAAAUAUGUUUUUUUAUAUUUAAUUGUAAAAAUUACAUUUGGUUACUUUAAUUUACCUUUGUUAAAUGCAUGCUCUCAAAUGUAAUAAAAACUGCUUGCUUGCAAACGUGUUUCAUUGUGACUCUCUUACAUAUAAGUCAUUCAAAGACACAAACUUGUGGCCCUUUAUAUUGAGAUAUUUUACAGGGCUUGGAUCUGUAUUAAAAUUUUAAACAUGUGAUAUUGAAAAAAGGCAAACUGUUCAAGAUCACUAUUUUAGACAAUUAUACGUAACAAAAUUUCAUGAAGCCAACCAAAUAAUGAUAUUUUAACACCAUGUGAGACCCUCAGUUCUUGUCGAUUAACACCCCGAGGUAAAACAAAGAAAAAUGCCGAACCGUUAAAGACUGUAACGGUUAAAUUUGUCCACACUGAGUUGCAACUUUAGUUUAAGUGCAUAUGUAUGAGUAUGUGUUUCUCCUUUGCAUUCUGUCGCUUUAUAUGAAGGCAGAAAAUGUUAUUGUUGAUUCUUGUAAAAAAAAAUAUACGCACGUUUACGGUACGUUUUAUAGUUAUAUACAUGCAGUGUUUUUUAUUUUUCAAUGAUCAUAAAUUAACAUAGUUAAUAUAGUAUCAUUAUUUUGUUUUCAGAUGAGAACUCUUCGAGAUGAUAUACACAAACAAAACUUUGCAGUCUAUCGGAGAACAUAUUUUAACUGAAAGCCUUGUAAUGACAAUAUAGCUAUAAAGUUAACCUAUUUUAGAACUUAAUUUUUAUGACACGUUUAAGUUGACACUUUUAAGUGUGUAAGUUUACUUACUAAUAACACUUCUACAAUUACAGUUGUAAUUCCUGCA
RNAcentral lists this long non-coding RNA (1045 nucleotides) under Mytilus galloprovincialis (Mediterranean mussel). Lineage: Eukaryota; Metazoa; Mollusca; Bivalvia; Mytilida; Mytilidae. The record is from RNAcentral.